This 8017-nucleotide long non-coding RNA is filed under the name Vigna radiata. Its description in RNAcentral is "long non-coding RNA (VRAD_LNC000195)". Lineage: Eukaryota; Viridiplantae; Streptophyta; Magnoliopsida; Fabales; Fabaceae. The record is from RNAcentral.
UUAGAUCUAAAGUACCAAACAAAUUACGCGUGGCUGAUACCAAUAUACAGAGAAAUCUAAUUAAAAAAAUUGACAAAAAACUGUUCCAGUAAGCAUUGACCUACAAGGAAAAAAACAAAAGUAACCAACAUAGUUUAUUUCCUAAUUCUUUCAAUUUGGGGGAGAGGGAGACUGGGUCGUACGUGUUUGGGAGUGAAGAAGGUAAGAGGAAAGAAGGCGGUAGCUUCGGAGGAGAAGUGAGAAGAAGUGCUUCCAUAGCGUGGAUUUCUGAGAGAGAGGGUUGGAAGGGAACUGAGAAGAAGUUUGAGAAUGGAUGAUAAACAUACUCAAAUCCACACCACUCCCCUUGCCUUCGCACUCACCGUCUCUUGCUUCCUCUGCAUCGCUUUGCCACGUUCCCACUCUCAACCAUCGCCGCCAUCGUCACCGCUACUGCCUUGUGCUGAGCCGUUAUACAUGUGCAGAAUAAACGUUUCCGACAUCUUAGAUCCUGUCUGGAAACAGAUUCCUCCCUCUCAGUGUAUUGGCGUCGACUCAUCACCCCAGCUCAGCUGCUCUGCUUCUUAUGGAUCUCAAAAUUUCACACUGAAGAAGGUCGACAACACCACUCACACCAUGACGGUGGUGCCAGCACACACUGUCAACAAUGUUUGUUCUCCUGAUUUUUUUCACAUUUACGACAACUUGAUCAACAGUCUGUUACAACAUUACGAGUCAAUGCGAAACGUCAUCGUAUUCUUCGAUGGUUGUCCUCUCGACAUCCCAAAUUUUCCUUCAGAACGCAAAUUUAAAUGCGGGAAUGCUGUGUACUAUUUUAGGGGGGAGCAUGAGAAGUUCUACAUACACCCAUCGCUUGAGUAUUGCAAGAAAAGUUUGUUGGUGCCCAUUGCCGCUCCUCUCGGUGAUUACGAUCAUAAAGAUGGUGGAGCUGAAGUUCUGAAAGAAGCUUUGAGGGAUGGGUUUGAGGUCUNCUAUAGUCCUCCUCAACACUGUAGAGGAUGCAACCAAAUUAACGGAAAUUGCUGGACCGGUGGUUACGAGGGACAUGAAGUUUCAUGCAACUACUAUUGCCCAAAUCAAUACUGUUCUCCCAAAAGCAAAAGUAGUGGUAUGUCUUCUCUUAUAUCUUACAUAUCAUUCCCACAAAAUCCUCUUUUUAGUUACUCACUUCCCAUUCUCCCUCUUUAUUCAAUCUAUUACUAUCGUUUAACCAACACAACUUUCAAUUACAAAGUUUGUCAUUCAAACCUAAUAUUGAAAUUUAUGUGCUAUAUUCAAACCUAAUAUUCAAUCAUUCAAUAUAGUAGUGUUUGUUCAUCAACUUAUGGAUAUAUAUAUAUAUAUAUAUAUAUAUAUAUAUAUAUAUAUAUAUAUAUAUAUAUAUAUAUAUAUAUAUAUAUAUAUUAGUGUUGCGAGUGACAUUAGCUAUAAUUUUUUAUCACACCCUUUGUUCUCUUUUUCUUUUGAUUUGCGUCUGCCUCUACGAGUAAUCAUUAAGAAGAGGAAUUUUUUUCAAUAUUAAUAUGUUUUAAAAUAAAAAUUGAAGCUUACCUAAGAUAUAAGAAAAAUGACUUGGAAACUAAAUAGUAUCACAAGUCAUUAUGAUUGUAUUUGUGAUUUUAAUUUUCAAGUAAAAGAAAAUUUAAUCCCCUAAAUUUUUCAAUUUUCUAUAAAUUCAAACCUCAAAAUCUAUUUUUCUUAGUUGAUUUUCAAAUUUUAUCCAGUCAACAAAUAAGCAUAUUUAUUUUUAAUUUUGGUCUAAAUAAUUCUUAAAUUGUUAUCUUUAUCUUAUAAUAGUUACACCUAAAACUAUAAUUUUAUUAUAAUUAUUCCUUAAUAUUUUUUUAUAAAUAAACUUCUUUAUGUUAAAUAUUUUUAUUAAACUGCUGGUGGUGGUUUAUUACUAUUUUUUAACUCAAUGUUUUCAAAAUAUUAUUUACUAAAAUUUACUUAGUCUUAAAUUAUAAUUAUAACGCAAUUAAACUUUUAGGUAUUUAUUUUAAAAAAUUUAAGAAUUAAUUGAAACAAAAUUAAAAUUCAGAAUAUUAUAUAUAUAUAUAUAUAUAUAUAUAUAUAUAUAUAUAUAUAUAUAUAUAUAUAUAUAUAUAUAUAUAUAUAUACGGUGUAAAGUUUUAGAUCAAUCAAGGUGUAUAAUUAAUUUUAUGAUACUUUUAUCUAUAAAAUAACAAACCUCAGAAGCUUAAAGGUUUUUUUAAGCUUUAGUUUCUUGGCUUAUUCAUUAUUUAUUUUUCUCCGAAAUUGGCCCUGAAACCAAAUCAUCCAAUUAUUCUGGUUUUCUCCCUCAUAUAGCCAGAUAAUAUUACUUGAUUUUAGUACAUUUCUCUUUACAAUUUACAUAUAUUUCUCGUAUGUUUCUAUCUUACACAUAUUUACUAAAAAAUAAGUGGGAGGUUUUUCUGUUACUUGCUUUUGUUGACUUCAAUGCACAUUUUCCCUUGGUCCCUACUAAUUAUUUGGUGGAUGUUCUGUCUUCUUUCACUUAACCGAGUCAACAAGAAAAUAUUUAAUUAUUAUGUGCAGUGGAAAUAUAUAAAAGAUAAUACAUUAUGUUACAAGUUAUAUAAUUGAAUGAUUUCAUAAAACAAAAAUUGACAAAGUCUCCGUCGUCUUUAAAAUUAAUUUUCCUUUUCUCAUUUAACAAAAUUACAUAUAUCACUCCACCUUCUUUCUCCUCCGGAAAAUAAAUCAUCAGUUAUCACUUCUUAUUUUUUGAAUUAUUUUCGUUUAAAUAUGUGUUUGUAAUAUGUUUAUAAUCCUUAAACUUUCACCUAUUUUUCCAGGAAUUGGUUUUGUUGUUUCGGUAAAUAAGCCAUGCCUAAAUUUUUAAGCACUAAAUUUUUAAACAAGAAUUGAAGAUGAUGCAUCUCUUUGUAUUAGAAUUCUAAAAAUAAAAGUGUUUUGAUUUUUGUUAAGAAAAUAAGUACUCAGUUCGUAGAAUGAUUUCUUUGGAUUUUUUGGUUCUUUAGUUUGAACAGAGGUUUAUAAUCUAGAAUAAGCAUUUGAAUACUGUAAAAUGAUAGUAAGUUUUAAUGUUAAAAUCCAACGUAUAAUAUAAGAUUUUAAAUGUAAUGUAACGAUGAGAAAAUUAAACCCUAAGCUAGAAAAUUCGUUUAUAUUGCACCCAAAUGCUUCUUUCCUCUGCCAUAAAUAUUUAGAUUGCGCUGUAAAGUGAAGUAGAAAGAUAUUAUAACUCCUCUUCCAAAAAGAUAAGUGAUUAUAAAAGUAGCUAGAAUGUUUUCUUUUUAUCUGAACAAUAUUUCAAUAAAAUUUACAGCAAUAUUAGGAAUCUGAUUAAUUCCUCUUUUCUCAUAUACUUUUGCAGGAAAUUGGGACCAAAAGAGGAAAUUCAUUAUUUUAGGUAACUAACCUAAUAAAUUAUCUUAAUAGUUUCCACUAAGUAUUUGUUAUCGAUCCCUAAUAAAUUUUCAUAGAGUUAAUAAUUAAAGUUUGUUUAUAUUUAAAUUCACUAACCAUAACUUUUUUCUUUUAUUUAUAAUUGAGAUUAGAGACCGAAAACAUUCAUCGUAAGUAAUUGUUCACACUUGUCCCUAUUGUAUAUGCUAACAGGUGUUACAGGUUCAGCAAUUGCAGCGGUGUUGAUAUUAUUUUCAAUUCUGUGUGUAAGAUACACGUCAUCAACCUGGCAAGCAAAUUUUGGCUUGGCUUCAAAAAGUAAUCAAAAUAUCGAAGCAUUCCUUAAAAUUCAUGGCCCUCUAGCUCUGAAAAGAUAUAAACUAUCAGAUGUUAAGAAAAUGACCAACAACUUCAAAGUAAAGUUGGGACAAGGUGGUUUUGGUGCAGUGUACAUGGGAAAGUUAUCCAAUGGUAAAGUUGUGGCUGUAAAGAUGUUGAGUGCAACCAAAAAAAAUGGUAAAGAUUUUAUGAAUGAGGUUGCUAGCAUAAGUAGAACUUCUCAUGUUAACGUUGUCUCUCUUCUUGGCUUUUGUUUGAAAGGUCACAAGAGAGCUCUCAUCUAUGAAUUUAUGUCCAAUGGUUCCCUUGACAAAUUCAUUUAUAGAACAAGAGAUGAAACCCUUUCAACCUUGAGUUGGGAUAUUAUAUAUCAAGUUGCAAGGGACAUAGCUCGAGGCUUAGAAUACUUGCAUAAGGGAUGCAACACUCGAAUUUUUCACUUUGACAUAAAACCACAUAACAUUCUUCUGGAUGACAACUUCUGUGCNAAGAUAUCUGAUUUUGGGUUGUCAAAACUGUGUCCUAGGAAUGAAAGUAUCGUUUCCCUGUCAGAUGCUAGAGGAACAGGAAUGAAAGUAUUGUUUCCAUGUCAGAUGCUAGAGGAACAAUGGGGUAUGUAGCUCCAGAGAUGUGGAGUAGAAAUCUAGGAAGAGUUUCGCAUAAGUCUGAUGUUUAUAGUUAUGGAAUGAUGCUGCUAGAGAUGGUUGGAGGAAGGAAGAACAUUAAUGCCGAAGCAAGUCAUACAAGUGAGAUAUACUUCCCACACUGGGCAUACAAUAAGCUUGAGUUGGACAACGAUUUGAGACCAGAUAUGGAGAUGACAGCAGAAGAAAAUGAGAUUGUAAAGAGGUUGGCGAUGGUGGGUUUAUGGUGUACUCAAACGUUUCCUAAUGAUAGACCUACAAUGAGCGAAGUGAUAGAUAUGUUGGAAGGCAACAUAGAUUCCAUACAAAUCCCACCAAAACCUUUACUUUCUUCUCCCACUAGAUCAGUACCUGAGUAUUCCAUAUCUUGAAAUUAAGUGAACUUUAUAUUUGAUAAAUUUUUCGUCUUGUACCUUAAAAUGAAUCGUUCUAUAUAAAUGUUGGCUCUUUCGAAUAAUCUAGAAAAGCAAGUACAAGCUCAUGAGACAGUUACAUCAGAAUGCAAAAGCUAGCCACCAAUUGAUUAAAUAAAUUAUGUCAUGUGUACCAUUGACCUGAGUUAGAUAAGUCUUUUGAAAUGAACAAUAGAAAGGGCAAAUACAAUAUCAAGUGGCAUAUUUAUAUGACUUAAAACAAUGAUAAGCACUGUGUAGAUGUUUGUUGGUUGAUGGAUUCGCAGCUUGAAGAGAGGGAGGAAGUGGAAUAACAAGGUGUGAAUUUUAUUUGUCUUCUGUUCUUGAGUUUGAACUUAGUUAUAGUGAGGGAGGGCUACGAGGAGAUGUUCGGGGAGGACUUGAGGAGUUCCCUAUAUGGUAGUCGGAGGAGCAUCUUGUGAAUGAUAUAGGAGUUAUAAGGUGAUAUAGUAGUAAAUUUGGAAGGAAUGGUGAGAGGUUGCAUUAAUAUUUCGGAGUUAUAAAAUUGGUUUGGUAGAUUUGAAUGGAAGGGUGGGAGAGGUUGUUGAUUCAACUUUUUUACUAACAAAAUACUAACAAUUGCUCAUAAAAAAAAAUUGUGAAUAUAUUGAGACAGAUGGUAAUGAUCUCAGGAUCUAGUUUGAAGAACAUAUGGAGGAAACCCUCACGAAGAUCAUUUGAAGGACUUACAUGUGGAUUCCUCAAAGGAAUAAGGAAUUUUAGGGUCUUGUGUAACAUGUUGUUUGUGUUAGUAAAGGGUAGAUAUAGUUUCACUACGCUGAUUCUAAGAUCUUUUUUUAGUUUGGAGGAGUAAAUCUCUUACUCAGAUCUUUUAUAUAGUAUUCAAUUAUUCCUAUGAUAUUUUAUAUUGUUUAUUCUCAUAAAACUCCUAAGUUUAUCUUAUAAUUAUCUGAUAACACCUAAAUUUAAGUUUAUUUCUACAAAAUUCUUUCAUAAACUUAAAUUUUGCCUUAUUUCAUCUUUCUUUCUACAUCAACCCAGAUCAAACUUACUCCUUUCAUUAACAAUGACAAUUAAGUUGAUUGCCAAUUGUUUUUAAUUGUGUGCACACGAUCUCCCGUGAUCAUCUUGAUCUCCACUCUAACAUUCCUACAUGAUUCAACUACUGCUUCAACUCCUGACCUAAAACGGUAUUUCAAUCCAAGUAUUCCCAACAAUGUUAGUUAUGUCUCUUCAAACUUAUUUGGACUUGUUUCAAAGGCUAUUAAGUCAGCUCGAACAUCAACAAGAAUCUUUACUCUUCAUUAUGAAAUUCUUUCAGUGUCUAGAUAGUGACAGCGUCACCAUAGUCCUCGACAUCUUCAGAGCCAUCUGCCAAAUACACUCCAUAGCUUCCUACAGAAGCAACAAUUAAAAUGGGACAAAUUCUAUAUCUUUUAUUUCUCAUAAAGUCUGAAGAAUCUUUGGUACACCUAUCAUGAUAAAUUUCUCGAGCCUCACGUGCAAUCUCUACACUUCUUCUAAACAUAGCAACACCUUCUCUAGAGAACCCUUUAGCCUCGCAACCUUGAAUAGAGGCUUGAUAAGAUGUUGUUAAUAUUAUGUUUUCUCUUGCUUUGAGGUAAUCUAGGUGGACCCUUCUGACAAGAUGUGAUGAUGAGCUAACAUGGUAUUUGGCACUCCAAAGUUGGUCAUUGAGAUCUGCACCUUGACGUUCUAAUUCAAUGGCAAAGCCACCUUUAAUGAUGACAAACUGCCACACUCGUCAAACUUAACCCUUAAAAACGAUGAUGCUCAACUCUUGUUCACUUUUACCUAGUACAAAUUUCUGGAACUUCAUUUUUAGGAUUUGGCAAUCCACAAUCUUGUUCGGGAAUGAAGAAGUGUCUUCAACCUUAAUUUGUGAAGAUUGAUAAACACAAAGACAAACACUUCUCAAUUUGAAUCCAUUGCCACCUUUAAACUUUGUCGAUAACUAAAUAUUUACUACAGAUGAAUCUGUGUAGAACAAUCUAAUUUCGAAACUUUGGUUAGAUCUAAAGUAACAAACAAAUUACGCGUGGCUGAUACCAAUAAACAGAGAAAUCUAAUUAAAAAAAUUGAUAAAAAACUAUUCCAGUAAGCAUUGACCUACCGGGAAAAAAACAAAGGUAACCAACAUAGUUUAUUCCCUAAUUCUUUCAAUUUGGGGGAGAGGGAGACUGGGUCGUGUUUGGGAGUGAAGAAAGUAAGAGGAAAGAAGGCGGUAGCUUCGGGGGAGAAGUGAGAAGAAGUGCUUCCAUAGCGUUGAUUUCUGAGAGAGAGGGUUGGGAGGGAACUGAGAAGAAGUGUGAGAAUGGAUGAUAAACAUACUCACAUCCACACCACUCCCCUUGCCUUCGCACUCACCGUCUCUUGCUUCCUCUGCAUCGCUUUGCCACGUUCCCACUCUCAACCAUCGCCGUCGCCAUCGUCACCGCUACCGCCUUGUGCUGAGCCGUUAUACAUGUGCAGCGUAAAGGUUUCCGACAUCUUGGAUCCUGUCUGGAAACAGAUUCCUCCCUCUCAGUGUAUCGGCGCCGACCCAUCACCCCAGCUCAGCUGCUCUGCUUCUUAUGAAUCUCAAAAUUUCACACUGAAGAAGGUCGACAACACCACUCACACCAUGACGGUGGUGCCAACACACACUGUCAAUGAUGUUUGUUCUCCUGAUUUUUUUCACAUUUACGACAACUUGAACAACAGUCUGUUACAAUAUUACGAGUCAGCGCACAAAGUCAUCGUAUUUGUUUGUCCUUUCGACAUCCCAAGUUUCCCUUCAGAAAGCAGAUUUAAAUGCGGGGAUGGUGUGUACUAUUUUGGGGAAGAGGAUGAGAUGUUGUACGUACACCCAUGGCUUGAGUAUUGCAAGAAAAGAUUGCUGCUGCCCAUUGUCGCUCCUCCCGGUGAUUAUGAUAAUAAAGAUGGUGGAGCUGAAGUUCUGAAAGAAGCUCUGAGGGAUGGGUUUGAGGUCUACUAUAGUCCUCCUCAACACUGUAGAGGAUGCAACCAAAUUAACGGAAAUUGCUGGACCGGUGGUUACGAGGGACAUGAAGUUUCAUGCAACUACUAUUGCCCAAAUCAAUACUGUUCUUCCAAGAGUAGUGGUAUGUCUUAUCUCCUCUCGUAUAUAUCUUACAUAUCAUCGCCACAAAAUCCUCUUUUUAGCUACUCACUUCCAUUCUCCCUCUUUAAUCAAUCUAUUAAUAUCCUUUAACCAACACAACUUUCAAUUAUCAACGCUAAUAUUGAAUAUUUCUGUGCUAU